RNAcentral lists this transfer RNA (74 nucleotides) under Psettina iijimae. RNAcentral's name for it is "tRNA-Leu". It matches the Rfam family "tRNA". From Rfam's summary of the family: Transfer RNA (tRNA) molecules are approximately 80 nucleotides in length. Their secondary structure includes four short double-helical elements and three loops (D, anti-codon, and T loops). Lineage: Eukaryota; Metazoa; Chordata; Actinopteri; Pleuronectiformes; Bothidae. The record is from RNAcentral.
GUUGGAGUGGCAGAGCCCGGUGAAUGCAGAGGUCCUAAGAUCCUCCCACGGAGGUUCAAGUCCUUCCCCCAACU